This 270-nucleotide ribosomal RNA is filed under the name uncultured bacterium. RNAcentral describes it as "partial 16S ribosomal RNA". It matches the Rfam family "Bacterial small subunit ribosomal RNA", at positions 29 to 324 of the family's 1533-position model. The record is from RNAcentral.
CGCGAACGCUGGCGGCAGGCUUAACACAUGCAAGUCGAGCGGGCGUAGCAAUACGUCAGCGGCAGACGGGUGAGUAACGCGUGGGAACAUACCUUUUGGUUCGGAACAACACAGGGAAACUUGAGCUAAUACCGGGAUGUGCCCUUCGGGGAAAGGAUUUAUCGCCAUUAGAGCGGCCCGCGUCUGAUUAGCUAGUUGGUGAGGUAAAGGCUCACCAAGGCUUCGAUCAGAGCUGGUCUGAGAGGAUGAUCAGCCACACUGGGACUGAGA